RNAcentral lists this ribosomal RNA (305 nucleotides) under uncultured bacterium. RNAcentral describes it as "bacterial SSU rRNA". It matches the Rfam family "Bacterial small subunit ribosomal RNA", at positions 335 to 655 of the family's 1533-position model. The record is from RNAcentral.
GUUCCUACGGGGCGCAGCAGUGGGGAAUAUUGGGCAAUGGAGGAAACUCUUACCCAGCAAUGCCGCGUGAGUGAAGAAGGUCUUCGGAUUGUAAAGCUCUUUGAUUGGGGAUGAAAAAAUGACGGUACCCAAAGAACAAGCACCGGCUAACUCCGUGCCAGCAGCCGCGGUAAUACGGAGGGUGCGAGCGUUAAUCGGAAUUACUGGGCGUAAAGCGCUCGUAGGCGGUAUGUCAAGUCAAGGGUGAAAUCCCCGCGCUCAACGUGGGAACUGCCUUUGAAACUGGCAAACUGGAGUGUGUGAGA